UCCUUUAGGUCCUGUCUUUCUCCGGAUUUAUUGGGUUUAAAGGGAGCGUAGGCCGGAGAUUAAGCGUGUUGUGAAAUGUAGAUGCUCAACAUCUGCACUGCAGCGCGAACUGGUUUCCUUGAGUACGCACAAAGUGGGCGGAAUUCGUGGUGUAGCGGUGAAAUGCUUAGAUAUCACGAAGAACUCCGAUUGCGAAGGCAGCUCACUGGAGCGCAACUGACGCUGAAGCUCGAAAGUGCGGGUAUCGAACAGG
This 253-nucleotide ribosomal RNA is filed under the name Segatella copri DSM 18205. RNAcentral's name for it is "Prevotella copri DSM 18205 partial 16S ribosomal RNA". It matches the Rfam family "Bacterial small subunit ribosomal RNA", at positions 524 to 776 of the family's 1533-position model. Lineage: Bacteria; Pseudomonadati; Bacteroidota; Bacteroidia; Bacteroidales; Prevotellaceae. The record is from RNAcentral.